Molecule: long non-coding RNA, 433 nt
Organism: Mesocricetus auratus (golden hamster)
Lineage: Eukaryota; Metazoa; Chordata; Mammalia; Rodentia; Cricetidae
Exons: 2
Source: RefSeq, a predicted model, not a curated record
ACAGCCAUUCUUAUCUGACCACAGCUUUGACCCCUCCUCAAAACUUCAGACUCUGAUUCCAGAGCUCUCUUAAAGAUUACUGAAGCAGUGGACCCCAAGGAAUUGGAAUUUCCCCGGAGUCUCAUGCUGGGAAAAGAGGCCAAAAGCCUACUGUCGGCCAGAUGAGGAGCUUGUCUCCCAGGAGGAUUUCACACAGUGCUGACAACUUGUUAGACCAUCUUGCAGGAGAGACUGGAGCCCAGACAGUGAUAGGUCAGUGAUGGACGGGACCACAUCUUGGCCAACACCACUUAGUUAUGCAUGUUUCUUGCCCUCUGUUUAAACAUAAACCUCUCAUCAGGACCCUAAAGAUGGACUUGGGGGGCAGUGUUACUGGGUCUCAUUGUUCUUUCCAAUGUGGUUGCAAUGAAUAAACCUUCUUUUUCUGUUUUCA